GCAUACGCGGUUAUACAAUAAAUCUUAAUUAAUAUUAUUGGUUAAUGAAGUUUAUUUUUAUUAUUUGAAUUUAAUUUAUUUAUUUUAAGGUGAAAUUUAAAUUUUUAUUAAAUUUUUUUUUAAUUCUUUUAAAGAUAAAAUAAAAACUAGGAUUAGAUACCCUAUUAUUUUAUCUAUUAAUUUUGACUAGGGUAGUAAUAGUUAUGUUCUUUAAACCUAAAGAAUUUGGCGGUGUUUUAGUCUAUUCAGAGGAAUUUGCCUAUUAAUCGAUAGUCCCCGAUUAAUCUUUCUUUUAUUUGUAAUCAGUAUGUAUACCGCCGUUAUAAGUUUAUUUUAUAAGAUUUAAUUUACUAAUUUUUUUAUUUUAAUUUAUUUCAGGUCAAGGUGCAG
RNAcentral lists this ribosomal RNA (390 nucleotides) under Clitarchus tepaki. Its description in RNAcentral is "partial small subunit ribosomal RNA". The record is from RNAcentral. Lineage: Eukaryota; Metazoa; Arthropoda; Insecta; Phasmatodea; Phasmatidae.